Molecule: ribosomal RNA, 301 nt
Filed under: uncultured bacterium
Lineage: Bacteria
Description: partial 16S ribosomal RNA
Rfam family: Bacterial small subunit ribosomal RNA
Source: RNAcentral
CAGCCGCCGCGGUAAUACGUAGGGUGCGAGCGUUAAUCGGAAUUACUGGGCGUAAAGCGUGCGCAGGCGGUUCGUUAAGACAGAUGUGAAAUCCCCGGGCUUAACCUGGGAACUGCAUUUGUGACUGGCGAGCUAGAGUAUGGCAGAGGGGGGUAGAAUUCCACGUGUAGCAGUGAAAUGCGUAGAGAUGUGGAGGAAUACCGAUGGCGAAGGCAGCCCCCUGGGCCAAUACUGACGCUCAUGCACGAAAGCGUGGGGAGCAAACAGGAUUAGAUACCCCGGUAGUCCCUGUCUCUUAUAC